ACUACGUGUAUGUGGGCACAUCCAGUGGGCCUUAGAUGUGUGUCCCGAGUAAGGAGUUCUUUGGGGGAGCUCACAGACCCCAGCUUGCAACCACCUUGCUGCACCUUCUCUUCCGGGACUCAGACAACAAACGGCAGACCACAUGCUGCCUUUAGGGGCCUAGAAGAGUCCCUAGCCAACAGUAAGUGCACAAGAAAUACAUGUUGCUAUAAAUAAAGGAAUUCUGCCCCUGCUGAGCUGGCAGACUGAUGCCUAAGACGGAAGCCAACACAGACCAUCCCAAGGCAAUGCCUGAUGUUUUGUGAAAUGGGCACAGGAGGAGGCAGGGGGCAUGACAACGGAAGUCAUGGGGAAGCCAAGGUUAGAAAAAAAAAAAAGAAUGCGUCCCCCAUAUGAAGAGAGGAUAAGAGGGACGCUCCUGGCUGAGCAAACAGCAUGAACAAAGACCCACAGAACCCAGCCUCUGAGACUUGAGCUAUGCCUGAGGUCUCCACUUCCUGCCUGGACCUCAGGAGUACAGCCCCCCAGCCUUCAGCUGCCCCAGAGCCCCCACUGCAUCAGCGACCUGGGAGUCCAGCCUUCCGGCCUCUCUCACCUCAGCCUCCAGCAAUUCGGGAACAGGCUCCUCCUUGGUCAGCAUUGGGGGUUCAUCUGUGCUGCCUGCAGUUACGGCUCCAGGAUCUAAAACAUCAAGUGAAGAGACAUUCCCUGAGCAGCUGCUCUGUACCACAGCACAGACCUGGGGCCAGGGGAUACCGAGGAGGGUGCCGAGAACCUGGCUGCAAGCCAGGCAGAAGCCACAGGAAGGACAUGGAAGUGGGAUCUCGACAUGGUGAGCAGGAUUUGAUCAGGGAGACAAAUGGGGCACAUCUGAGGCAGACAGAACAUAUGUUUCAUAUGUUUAGUGAGUACAGAUUGUGAGGCUGGACUCCCUGGGUUCAAAUCCUGAUCUUGAGCCUGUAACUUAAUUCCUCUGGGCCUCAGUUUCCCCAUCUGUAAAUGGGGAUAAUGAGAAGUAAUUCCCACAGGAGACUGUGGCGAGCAUGAAAUGAGAUGUUAUGGAUAAAGCCCUUAGCUUUAUCCGGUGUCUUGCCCACAGCACCGGCUCAAUAAAUGCCUGUUGUUUUUCUCUUAGUAAAGGUGCGAUCGAGACACAGUCCACAGGCCCAGGUCAUAGUAUUGUUGGAAAGGAACAAGGAGACCAGCAGGGGUCACUCACUGGGCCCAAAGGGCAAAGUGGAGGAGUCAAAGGCCAUAGGGAGCCACUGAAGUCUUUGAAGCACAAACGAUCCUGCCAAAUUUGUGCUUUAGAAAAAGUUGGUCUGGCAGCUGUGUCAAGGAGACCCAUAAGGAGGCUGGAGCCAGGCAGGGGUGAGAGAUGGCGCUUGUAGACCCAUUUGGGAGGUGGUUCGGACCAGGCAGGGUUUUGACUAUUUGAAACAAAGAGGAGCUGAGGAGGAAUUCUGCCCCAAGAUGCUGGCUCACUGGCUAUGUGAGCUGGGGAGACUUCUUUCUCUGGGUUUCAGCUCCUCACCCACUUAUGGGGAUCAUAACCUUCAUGGGGUUAUAGUAAGGAUAUAAAACAUGUUCAGUGCUUAGAAGGGUGUCUGGGACACAGAGCUCAGUAAGUCUUAGCUGUUAUUUUCACGUCCUAAUCACGCUCAGGAAUAUCACUAUUAUUUACUCCUCAACAAAUAUUUAUUGAGCACAUUCUAUAUGUUCCACGCUGUUCUGAGGAUUUAGUAAUGAACAGAAGCAACAUGAGCCCAAGGUUCAGAAAGCUGACAUGAGGUGGGAGCCGGAAAAGAAACUGGAGUAGUAAAAAAAAUAAAACUU
Molecule: long non-coding RNA, 1836 nt
Organism: Lutra lutra (Eurasian river otter)
Lineage: Eukaryota; Metazoa; Chordata; Mammalia; Carnivora; Mustelidae
Exons: 3
Source: RefSeq, a predicted model, not a curated record